CGAACGCUGGCGGCGUGCUUAACACAUGCAAGUCGAACGGAAAGGCCCUGCUUGCAGGGUACUCGAGUGGCGAACGGGUGAGUAACACGUGGGUGAUCUGCCCUGCACUUCGGGAUAAGUCUGGGAAACUGGGUCUAAUACCGGAUAGGAGCCAUUUUUAGUGUGAUGGUUGGAAAGUUUUUUCGGUGUAGGAUGAGCUCGCGGCCUAUCAGCUUGUUGGUGGGGUAAUGGCCUACCAAGGCGGCGACGGGUAGCCGGCCUGAGAGGGUGGACGGCCACAUUGGGACUGAGAUACGGCCCAGACUCCUACGGGAGGCAGCAGUGGGGAAUAUUGCACAAUGGGCGCAAGCCUGAUGCAGCGACGCCGCGUGGGGGAUGACGGCCUUCGGGUUGUAAACUCCUUUCGCUAGGGACGAAGCUUUUUGUGACGGUACCUAGAGAAGAAGCACCGGCUAACUACGUG
This 463-nucleotide ribosomal RNA is filed under the name uncultured bacterium. RNAcentral's name for it is "partial 16S ribosomal RNA". It matches the Rfam family "Bacterial small subunit ribosomal RNA", at positions 30 to 507 of the family's 1533-position model. The record is from RNAcentral.